GACGUAGGGUGCAAGCGUUGUCCGGAUUUAUUGGGCGUAAAGAGCUCGUAGGCGGCUUGUCGCGUCAACUGUGAAAACCCGUGGCUCAACCAUGUGGUCUGCAGUCGAUACGGGCAGGCUAGAAUUCGGUAGGGGAGACUGGAAUUCCUGGUGUAGCGGUGAAAUGCGCAGAUAUCAGGAGGAACACCGGUGGCGAAGGCGGGUCUCUGGGCCGAUAUUGACGCUGAGGAGCGAAAGCGUGGGGAGCGAACAGG
RNAcentral lists this ribosomal RNA (254 nucleotides) under uncultured bacterium. RNAcentral describes it as "partial 16S ribosomal RNA". It matches the Rfam family "Bacterial small subunit ribosomal RNA", at positions 524 to 776 of the family's 1533-position model. The record is from RNAcentral.